RNAcentral lists this small nuclear RNA (80 nucleotides) under Caenorhabditis brenneri. RNAcentral's name for it is "sRNA CBN34011". It matches the Rfam family "SmY spliceosomal RNA". The record is from Rfam by way of RNAcentral. Lineage: Eukaryota; Metazoa; Nematoda; Chromadorea; Rhabditida; Rhabditidae.
AAAUGAACUAAAUAUCUCUGAGGGCCUUGAAUAAGACCCGGUGAACAAUUUUUGGAGGCCCUAUUCUCAGGAAUCGAAGA